This 492-nucleotide ribosomal RNA is filed under the name uncultured bacterium. Its description in RNAcentral is "partial 16S ribosomal RNA". It matches the Rfam family "Bacterial small subunit ribosomal RNA", at positions 29 to 507 of the family's 1533-position model. The record is from RNAcentral.
AGUGAACGCUGGCGGUAGGCCUAACACAUGCAAGUCGAACGGCAGCACAGUAAGAGCUUGCUCUUACGGGUGGCGAGUGGCGGACGGGUGAGGAAUACAUCGGAAUCUACUUUUUCGUGGGGGGUAACGUAGGGAAACUUACGCUAAUACCGCAUACGACCUACGGGUGAAAGCAGGGGAUCUUCGGACCUUGCGCGAUUGAUUGAGCCGAUGUCGGAUUAGCUAGUUGGCGGGGUAAAGGCCCACCAAGGCGACGAUCCGUAGCUGGUCUGAGAGGAUGAUCAGCCACACUGGAACUGAGACACGGUCCAGACUCCUACGGGAGGCAGCAGUGGGGAAUAUUGGACAAUGGGCGCAAGCCUGAUCCAGCCAUACCGCGUGGGUGAAGAAGGCCUUCGGGUUGUAAAGCCCUUUUGUUGGGAAAGAAAAGCAGCAGGUUAAUACCCCGCUGUUCUGACGGUACCCAAAGAAUAAGCACCGGCUAACUUCGUG